AACAACACUGAUUUAAGUCGUUGAAUAGUUGCUGUAGAGCAGCUCCCACAUGAGAGGCAGCACCGAAGAGAAGUACUAAAUGAGGUGGCGAAACGAGGAAGAAACUAUGCCCCCAUGUUGAAUUUCUACACGGGUGACCCUCGUUAAAGCAAGUCGUAUUUUCCUACUUUUAAAAGGCUUGACAACGACAAGAAGUUUUCAAAAAAAGGAACAUGUCCUCCCCAGUUGACGCAGAUGAAGACGAGGUGGAAAAAGAAGUCGAGUUUGUAUCAGAGGGCCCUCUCAGACCAGUAUUGGAAUGUAUUGACCUGUUGAGUGACAGUGAGGAUGAGGGAUGUUCAUCAUUGCCCAAUACACUUGAAGAUAAAAUCAGCCGACAUAAAGCACGUGUUACAUCUACCCUGGAUAGACUGGCGCACCAAGUGGCUGUACAGAAAAAGGAACGAGCAGAUAAAUGCAGAGCAUUCAAGGAGAAGCAGAUCCUACAAAAAGCUCAUGGACAACAGGAGCUGGCUGUUAGCGCUGUAAAUGGGAUUAAUCAGGAAGCCAAACGUUGUGUAGACAUGUGGUUAAAGAUGCCAGGUCUUAAACCUGGAGCGAUCAGUGCUGGUUCCGAGGGAAGACAAAGAGCUUCUUUCCACAGAACUAUCUCAACUAGGCAUACUUGUCCAGUAAUUAACUGUGGUCGAGUUUAUGAUAAUGCUUCCCUCCUUGAUGGACACUUGAAAAGGUUUGAUCACUCCCCAUGUGACCCGACUAUCAAUCUUAAAGGAAGUCCAUCAGAGUUUUUUGCCUGUGUUGCAUGUGGAAAGAAUUUUCAGGCCAAAGAAUCCUGGAGGAACCACGUUAAGUCGAAGGUGUCCUCGUCUAAUGCCGAUGGUCAUAGCAUCAACCAGAUGUAUCAGCGAAUUGUGUGUUUUGCAUGUCCUGCCUGCUACAACCUCUUCAACCUCAGAGACGAGUGUCUCCAGCACAUGUCAGCCGAAAGCCACUUCAAAGACUCACUCGCCUUAAGAGGAAGUCCGCUGCCAGUCCCUGUCCCUCAACAUGUCAAGAAUCGUCUCAUCGCCUUGUGCAAAGAUGUAGCGUUCAGUGUCCGCUGCUCUUUGUGUCAUAACGUACUGAUCUCCCAUCAAGCAGCUCAAGCUCACUUUAAUGUGUACUGCAGACAGGGCUGUGCUGUGGCCAAAGCUGACAAGACGAUAGUGCAGGUCAUGAAUCAGCUGCAAGUGCGAGGACAGUGUUCUGUCUGCUGUGAAAUCUUCCUCAGCCAAGCUGAAAUUGAGAGACACAGGGAGUCGAUGCAGCAUGAAGUUGAACUCAACCAAACAAUGGCAAAAGCACUUCUUCAGCACUGCAGGUUUAGUGAAAUUCAACACUUGAAGAGAGCUAGAGACUCAACAGACACAGAGGAGACCACUGGCCUUGCAACACCUCUCAAAAGAAACAGGAAGAGCGACGACCAUGACAGAUUUCCAGCUAAACAGCAGAGCUUGGGGACAAGUGUGACUGUCACCAGUAGCGGGAGCGUAACAGCUUGGUGUUGCGAGUGCGGUCUUCAGUUCUCAGACGAGGCUGGAGCCAGUAAGCACCUUCUGGCUGUGAACCAAAUUUUCCAUCAGUGUGGCGUGUGUGGCAAACAUAUGGGGGAGUCUUCCAUUGCACGUCUGCAUAUGAGUCGCUUUCACGGGGGCGCUCAUCUCUCCAACUUCCUCUUCUACUGCCGCAAGUGCAAAGUGGAAAUGCCUCGGUACGAAGACAUCCUGUCACACGUGUCCGGAGCUCACAGCGGACACACGUAUUUCAGUGAACAAGAAGUGCCUGAGCAGCUUCCCAUAAUCGUUGAUGUCAAGCCAUCCACUAGCAGUGACGUCACAUUUCACUCCUCGUCUGUGGCCAAAGUCCAGCUGAGCACAGAGGUGUCUUCCUCAAAAGUAGAGCAGUCUUGGAUGUGCAGGAUGUGCGAGGAUGUCUUUGACUCGGAGGCUGCCGUCCGUAAACACUGCAGCGAUGUUAGUAGUCACAGCUUUCAGAGAUUCGUCUGCGGACACUGUCCACAGAAGUUCUUCAAAGAGUCCACCGUACGGAGACACUGUAUGAAUGAGCAUGAUGGGCUUGUAAAAACUUCCUAUUUCUGCGGCCUCUGCGACAGCAUGGAGUUUGGAUCUGAGGAGGAGUUUUUUGAGCACUACAAGAAUCUUCACAGUAAGGACUACUACUGCAUGGAUGAGGUUGAAGUUGUUCAGCCAGAUGCUGCUGAUGCUGCCGCUGAGAGGACCAGUCAGUUUACAUGCCCGUGCAUGGGUUCGGAAAAAAGUAAAGAGGACAUGAAAGCCACUUACACACAAUGCAUGAGGAAUCUGGCUGCGGAAGAAAAAUGCCAGUACAUCUGUGUGCCUUGCGAUGUAUCUGUUCCAUCCUAUGCACAGAUCAAGACUCAUGUCCACACAAAACACACAGCCUUGAACCUGGACAGGAGCUUUGACAUCAGAUGCAAAGACUGCCAAGAGAGUUUUAUGGAUGUACCGAGUUUCCAUAAACACUACCACUUGCAACAUUGUACACUGGAUCCCUGCAUGAGUUCCAGGACCUGCAGGAAAAGCUCAAAAGCCGAACCCACCACUCCAAUGAUACCUAAUGCUGCGGAGAUCAAACCAGACAGCAAUGAGAUUGACGACGAAACGCUGACAUUUUUGAACAUUGAUCACACGAAUGACGAGAGUGAAGUGCAGGAAGUUGAAUCGGAUGAUGAAAUGAAACGUGCGCUGUCUUUGAGCGCAGAAGAAGGACAAGAGUCAGCAGAGUUGGAAGAAGCUCUCAAAAGAAGCCUCCUGGAGUUCUGAGAAAGCCAGUAGUGCUUUUGUAACAUGCUGUUCAUCGAACGUUAUACUAGAAUGUUUUGUACAAGUAAGUGGACACCAAACUGAACCUUGCAGAUUUGCAAUUUUGUAAGCUUGAUACUUGUGAGGAGCCAGAGUGUUUCGACACGUGUGCUAUAGAUGGCAUCCACCACACUGCAAGAUGCCUG
RNA transcript from Pundamilia nyererei, 3028 nucleotides. It is a transcript of the gene named zinc finger protein 451, with no coding region annotated. The transcript has 14 exons. The record is from RefSeq and is a predicted model, not a curated record. NCBI's taxonomy places the organism in Eukaryota, Metazoa, Chordata, Actinopteri, Cichliformes, Cichlidae.